RNAcentral lists this ribosomal RNA (389 nucleotides) under uncultured bacterium. Its description in RNAcentral is "bacterial SSU rRNA". It matches the Rfam family "Bacterial small subunit ribosomal RNA", at positions 142 to 509 of the family's 1533-position model. The record is from RNAcentral.
GGUAACACCUGGAAACAGAAUGCUAAUACCGGAUAACAACCACUAGACGCAUGUCUAGAGUUUGAAAGUAAUGGGUUCUGCUAUCACUCUUGGAUGGACCCUGCGGUGCAUUAGCUAGUUGGUAAGGUAACGGCUUACCAAGGCAAUGAUGCAUAGCCGAGUUGAGAGACUGAUCGGCCACAUUGGGACUGAGACACGGCCCAAACUCCUACGGGAGGCAGCAGUAGGGAAUCUUCCACAAUGGACGAAAAGUCUGAUGGAGCAACGCCGCGUGAGUGAAGAAGGGUUUUCGGCUCGUAAAAGCUCUGUUGGUAGUGAAGAAAGAUAGAGGUAGUAACUGGCCUUUAUUUGACGGUAAUUACUUAGAAAGUCACGGCUAACUACGUGCC